Molecule: ribosomal RNA, 301 nt
Filed under: uncultured bacterium
Lineage: Bacteria
Description: partial 16S ribosomal RNA
Rfam family: Bacterial small subunit ribosomal RNA
Source: RNAcentral
CAGUAGCCGCGGGAAUACGUAGGUAGCAAGCGUUGUCCGGAAUUAUUGGGCGUAAAGGGCUCGCAGGCGGUUUCUUAAGUCUGAUGUGAAAGCCCCCGGCUCAACCGGGGAGGGUCAUUGGAAACUGGGAAACUUGAGUGCGGAAGAGGAGAGUGGAAUUCCACGUGUAGCGGUGAAAUGCGUAGAGAUGUGGAGGAACACCAGUGGCGAAGGCGACUCUCUGGUCUGUAACUGACGCUGAGGAGCGAAAGCGUGGGGAGCGAACAGGAUUAGAUACCCCGGUAGUCCCUGUCUCUUAUAC